UGAGCUGUGCUUCCGGGACUGAGCUGUGCUUCCGAGCCUUUCUUCCACCUUUUAAGAAAUUGGCUUUGUUGUCAGUCCAGGGCGCUAGCAGAAGUGCAGUCCACUCAUGUACACAGAGUGCCUGCUUCAGGACUUGCCUGCCCUUUCUGCCUAAAAAUCCCCAGGACAACGGAAGCUUUCUGACUAUUUUUUUAUCCUUUGUUUGACAGGGCUUCCGUGUUACUCAAAAUGAUAAGAAAAAAAUUCACAGUAGCUUCAGACCUUGUUACAUGUUUUAAUAUGCCAUCAGUGGAGCUUUCUUAACUUCCAGUGUUUUAUAGUAACAGGGUUCUUGCUUCCAGUGUCAUUGACAUCGCCAGUUAUGUAAACUGGAUGAGAACUAAUUCCCUUAAAUAUUAACCACCACUGUGAUAGCAUACAAUACAAGACCAGAGCUUAUAGAACAAAUAUAUUCUGCAAGGGGGAUUCGUUAGGUUGGUGUCUUUAUACAGAUAUUUCACAGCAUAAAGGAAUGCAAGACUUCCUCAACAAAUAUUCUACAACACCUGCGUUUUCACUAAAGCCCCUGAAAUCAUUCCCCCCACCAAUCUUUGGCUUCUCCCCAUUUUUCUUAUCAUCAGAGGCCAUGUUUCUUAAUUUGUGUGAGCCACAGUCUGCUUACUGCAGCAUCCAGGGCAGACAGUAGGCAUCUUCGGUCUGGUACAUGACAGUGAGCUGUGUCAGUGGCUCUUGGGCAGUGUUCAUGUGCAGAUGAAAGCAUUACAUUGGUUCCUGCUACGACAUACGUUUUUCUAGAGGAAGAAAUGAGACACAAGAAAUGUGUCUUAUUCGUAACCUCUAGAUGAGCACUGUCUAACUGACCUUCCUUCAAUGAUGGGAGUGUUCUCCCGUCCAUGAUGCCCGGCACAUGUGGUGACCAGAAGCCUGAGUGUGACAGAAGAGCAAGACCCCCAAAGAAAGAAGUGACUGCAUUUUGUUCCACAGCCAAGUGGACUUUGUAGAAAAAUGCAGUCUUCAUCUCUCAUCAAGGAAAUUUCUCUUUGCAACAAGAGACCAUUGUAGAAAAACACUACCAACCAAAACACAAAGUUGUGGAACCCAGUCCUGAUGGAAACAUCUACAACAUAAUUUCUUCAGCUAAGGCUCAGGGAUCACUGAAGAUCAGGAGGCAGAAAGAUUUGGGAGUCAGAGGGUUCAGGAGUUUGAUGCAAGAUCGUAUCUCCUAGGAAUGUCAGAAGUUACAUCCAUAAAGUCUCACCACAGUGCUGCCUAACCAUGACUGAAGAAGGACAAUGCCAGUAGACAUGAUAAUGUGGAUGGGGCUGGGGAAGCCCGUGAGGCCUCAGCCCUACAGAGAGAACGAUCGCCAACCAAGGAGUGCUGAGAGUGGGAGACACAGUCUUCUCCAGGGAAGAGCACACUUGCUCAUCCAGUACCAAGUGGUUAUCCCUGAAAGCAUAAAUACAAGUAACAGUAUACAUACUGAGCAGGUCGUGCUUAUGUAUUUAGGAAUAUAUGCAUGUACACACACAUGCACGUGCAUAAUAGCAAUUAAUGAAAUAGAGGCCAUGUGUUUGACAAAAGAGCAAGGGGGCUUUGUGAGAGGGUUUGGAGGGAAGAAAGGAAAGGGAGAAGUGUUGGAAUUAUAUUUCAAAAAGUAAAAGAAAUAAUUAAAAACUUA
Molecule: long non-coding RNA, 1681 nt
Organism: Mesocricetus auratus (golden hamster)
Lineage: Eukaryota; Metazoa; Chordata; Mammalia; Rodentia; Cricetidae
Exons: 3
Source: RefSeq, a predicted model, not a curated record